AAAAUAUUCCAGUCAGGUACCUCUGAGUGCAACAGCAGUGUGAUGCAAAUAAGGAACAGAUAAUCAAAUCAAACUUUCUAAUCGAGUUUUGCUAUGCUGACUCUCUUAUUUCUUUCUACCCUGCAGUUUGCGUGUUGUUUUACAACACUGCAAAAUUUGCCUGAAGAGUAAAUAUUUGUGAGUUUUCAGAAUCUUGUCAUGUCCCACAAAGGAAAAUAAUUUUCCUGUGCUACUUCUACUAUUACCUUGAUUUCACCGUGGGAAGGUACAGAUCUAAUCCUUUGGAAGGGGGGAACUAUGAGGUGAAGAAGCAGCCAGAGGAGUAAAACAGGGUUUUGAUAUAAAUUUGGCCAGUUGAGAAUGCUGAACAGAACCUCAGCUGAAGUGAACUGAUGCAACUAUUGAGAAGCUGUCUUGUUGAAGAACAGAAGUGAGAAAUAAUCUGGAUGGGUAUCUGGUAGCCAACCAAGUUUUCCCCUGCUCUAGUCUGGAUUCUUCCCUUGAGCUGCAGUCUUUCAGCAACUAUUCCAGUUUGGGCCCUCUCCUGUGGUCACAGAUCCUUCAGGAGACAUCCACGUGCUCUGUCACUGUUUAUUCCAUGGGCUGCAGAGGAAACUCUCUCCAGCACCUCUUCAUCUUCCUCCUUCUCUGGCUUUGGUGCCUAGAGGAUGCAGGACACAGAAAUCUCCUUUCUGG
Molecule: long non-coding RNA, 696 nt
Organism: Gallus gallus (chicken)
Lineage: Eukaryota; Metazoa; Chordata; Aves; Galliformes; Phasianidae
Source: Ensembl